This 617-nucleotide ribosomal RNA is filed under the name uncultured bacterium. Its description in RNAcentral is "bacterial SSU rRNA". It matches the Rfam family "Bacterial small subunit ribosomal RNA", at positions 338 to 873 of the family's 1533-position model. The record is from RNAcentral.
CCUACGGGAGGCAGCAGUGGGGAAUUUUGGACAAUGGGCGCAAGCCUGAUCCAGCAAUGCCGCGUGCAGGAUGAAGGCCUUCGGGUUGUAAACUGCUUUUGUACGGAGCGAAACGGUCCGCUUUAAUACAGUGGGCUAAUGACGGUACCGUAAGAAUAAGCACCGGCUAACUACGUGCCAGCAGCCGCGGUAAUACGUAGGGUGCGAGCGUUAAUCGGAAUUACUGGGCGUAAAGCGUGCGCAGGCGGUUAUAUAAGACAGAUGUGAAAUCCCCGGGCUCAACCUGGGACCUGCAUUUGUGACUGUAUAGCUAGAGUACGGUAGAGGGGGAUGGAAUUCCGCGUGUAGCAGUGAAAUGCGUAGAUAUGCGGAGGAACACCGAUGGCGAAGGCAAUCCCCUGGACCUGUACUGACGCUCAUGCACGAAAGCGUGGGGAGCAAACAGGAUUAGAUACCCUGGUAGUACCACGCCCUAAACCGAACUAGCCGAACCUAGGUUGGUUGGGUUCGUUCUACUGACUCAGUAACGAAAGACUAACGACGUGAAGUUAGUACCGCCUCGGGGAGGUACGGCCGCCGAAGGUUAGGUAAACGUACCGAAAGGAAAGUUAGUACGG